UAAACAGCAAGCUUAAAUACCCUGACACCCCCUACAACAUUAAAUCAUCC
RNAcentral lists this ribosomal RNA (50 nucleotides) under Gagata melanopterus. RNAcentral's name for it is "partial 16S ribosomal RNA". Lineage: Eukaryota; Metazoa; Chordata; Actinopteri; Siluriformes; Sisoridae. The record is from RNAcentral.